AUUGAACGCUGGCGGCAUGCCUUACACAUGCAAGUCGAACGGCAGCACGGGAGCAAUCCUGGUGGCGAGUGGCGAACGGGUGAGUAAUAUAUCGGAACGUGCCCAGUAGUGGGGGAUAACUGCUCGAAAGAGCAGCUAAUACCGCAUACGACCUGAGGGUGAAAGGGGGGGGAUCGCAAGACCUCUCGCUAUUGGAGCGGCCGAUAUCAGAUUAGCUAGUUGGUGGGGUAAAGGCCUACCAAGGCAACGAUCUGUAGUUGGUCUGAGAGGACGACCAGCCACACUGGGACUGAGACACGGCCCAGACUCCUACGGGAGGCAGCAGUGGGGAAUAUUGGUCAAUGACGCAAGUCUGAACCAGCCAUGCCGCGUGAAGGAUGAAGGCCUUCUGGGUUGUAAACUGCUUUUGUCAGGGAAGAAAU
This 422-nucleotide ribosomal RNA is filed under the name uncultured bacterium. RNAcentral describes it as "bacterial SSU rRNA". It matches the Rfam family "Bacterial small subunit ribosomal RNA", at positions 30 to 451 of the family's 1533-position model. The record is from RNAcentral.